RNAcentral lists this ribosomal RNA (494 nucleotides) under uncultured bacterium. Its description in RNAcentral is "partial 16S ribosomal RNA". It matches the Rfam family "Bacterial small subunit ribosomal RNA", at positions 28 to 507 of the family's 1533-position model. The record is from RNAcentral.
GACGAACGCUGGCGGCGCGCUUAACACAUGCAAGUCGAACGGAAAGGCCUGCUUUCCCUUGUGGAUUGCGGGUACUCGAGUGGCGAACGGGUGAGUAACACGUGAGUGAUCUGCCCCCAACUUGGGUAUAAGCCUGGGAAACUGGGUCUAAUUCCCGAUAGGACUGCAGGGUGGUGCCUGUGGUGGAAAACGAUUUUCUAGUGGUGGGGGAUGAGCUCGCGGCCUAUCAGCUUGUUGGUGGGGUAAUGGCCUACCAAGGCGGCGACGGGUAGCCGGCCUGAGAGGGUGGACGGCCACAUUGGGACUGAGAUACGGCCCAGACUCCUACGGGAGGCAGCAGUAGGGAAUAUUGCACAAUGGGCGGAAGCCUGAUGCAGCGACGCCGCGUGGGGGAUGACGGCCUUCGGGUUGUAAACUCCUUUCGACCGCGAGGAAGCCACCUGGUUGGAAGGGUGGUGACGGUAGUGGUAGAAGAAGCACCGGCUAACUACGUG